GGGCAUGGUGGUAUGUACCUGUAGUCCCAGCUACUCAGGAGUCUAAGGCUGGAAGAUUGCUUGAGCCCAGGAGUUCUGGGCUGUAAUGCACUAGGCUGAUUUGGUGUCCACAAUAUGUCCACAUCAAUGUGGUGAGCUUCUGGGGCAUGGGACCACCAGGUUGUCUAAGGAGGGGUGAACAAUCCCAGGCUGGAAAUGGAGCAGGUCAAAACUUCGGUGCUAAUCAGUAGUGGGAUCACACCUAUGAAUAGCCAUAGCACUCCAGCCUGGACAACAGAGCAAGAUCCCAUCUCUA
This is an unclassified non-coding RNA of Callithrix jacchus (white-tufted-ear marmoset), 295 nucleotides long. It matches the Rfam family "Metazoan signal recognition particle RNA". From Rfam's summary of the family: The signal recognition particle (SRP) is a universally conserved ribonucleoprotein. It is involved in the co-translational targeting of proteins to membranes. Lineage: Eukaryota; Metazoa; Chordata; Mammalia; Primates; Cebidae. The record is from Ensembl.